AGUGAACGCUGGCGGCGUGCUUAACACAUGCAAGUCGAACGAGAACGGGUUAUAGCUUGCUAUAAUUGUCAGCUAAGUGGCGUAUGGGUGAGUAAUGUAUAGGUAAUAUGCCUCUUACUAAGGGAUAACAAAUGGAAACGUUUGCUAAUACCUUAUACUCCUUAUUAACAUAAGUUAAUAAGGGAAAGAUUUAUUGGUAAGAGAUUAGCCUGUAUUGUAUCAGUUAGUUGGUGGGGUAAUGGCUUACCAAGACUAUGACACAUAACUGGUUUGAGAGGAUGAUCAGUCACACUGGAACUGAGACACGGUCCAGACUCCUACGGGAGGCAGCAGUGGGGAAUAUUGCACAAUGGACGAAAGUCUGAUGCAGCAACGCCGCGUGGAGGAUGACACAUUUCGGUGCGUAAACUCCUUUUAUAUGAGAAGAUAAUGACGGUAUUAUAUGAAUAAGCACCGGCUAACUCCGUGCCAGCAGCCGCCGUAA
Molecule: ribosomal RNA, 484 nt
Filed under: uncultured bacterium
Lineage: Bacteria
Description: partial 16S ribosomal RNA
Rfam family: Bacterial small subunit ribosomal RNA
Source: RNAcentral